CCGGCACGGGUGAGUAACGCGUAUGCAACUUGCCUAUCAGAGGGGGAUAACCCGGCGAAAGUCGGAAUAAUACCGCAUGAAGCAGGGAUCCCGCAUGGGAAUAUUUGCUAAAGAUUCAUCGCUGAUAGAUAGGCAUGCGUUCCAUUAGGCAGUUGGCGGGGUAACGGCCCACCAAACCGACGAUGGAUAGGGGUUCUGAGAGGAAGGUCCCCCACAUUGGUACUGAGACACGGACCAA
This 238-nucleotide ribosomal RNA is filed under the name uncultured bacterium. RNAcentral's name for it is "partial 16S ribosomal RNA". It matches the Rfam family "Bacterial small subunit ribosomal RNA", at positions 100 to 334 of the family's 1533-position model. The record is from RNAcentral.